This 404-nucleotide ribosomal RNA is filed under the name uncultured prokaryote. Its description in RNAcentral is "partial 16S ribosomal RNA". The record is from RNAcentral.
CCCUACGGGGUGCAGCAGGCUGAGGAUAUGUUACCCGUUGCCCGGCUGUUCAAUCAAGAACUAAAAGAUGCGAUCGGAAAUAAGGACAUUGAAUCCUUUGAAGAAGCACUGACUCGUUUAGAUAAGAUAUUUUAGUGAAAGGGAGGAUAAUGGGAUGGAAUUUGCGUUAAGCAAGGAACAGGCUCUAAUUCAGAAGAUGGCCCGGGAAUUUGCGGAGAAGUCCAUUGAGCCGGUGGCACGGCAGAUCGAUGAGGAGAACAGGAUCCCGGCGGAAGUAUUCGAGGGUUUGGGAGAACUUGAACUGAUGGGAGUACCAUUUGACGAAGAAUAUGGCGGAGCCGGGGCCGGUUAUGACGGUUAUGUGCUGGCUAUGGAACAAAUAGCCAGGGUAUUGGCGGGAGGGC